CCAGGCAUUAUAAUGUUAAUUAUUAAUUAAAUAAGAAUAUGGAGCUGACAAGAUAUUAACGUCGACCAAAAAUAUACAUUGGCAGAAAAUUAUAAAUAAAAGAGGGGUAUUUUCAUAUAUAACUCUAAAAUCAGGUUUCCAUUUGAUCUGGGCGAUUGUAACCAUGUUUAACGGCAGAGAAUUAAUGUUAGUGUUUGGAGGCAGGUGCCGUUUGUGGUCCAAGGUUGUAACUAGAUUUGAUGGCACAAAGUAUUGCCAUAGCAGCUGCAUAGCAAUGAGAGUAACAAUCAGUAAUAUUAGCAGCAAAAGGAGAUAGCCAUGACAAUUCUGGACAUUCUGCCAAGGCAUACCUCCGGCACCAGUCACACUGACAAGUCAGUGGAAACAAAAUAUAAUGUAUAGUGGUCUAUACAUCCUAUUUUAUGUGAGAUUAAAAAUUAUAUAAAAUAAAAUGACCUACUACCAGAUAAAAUCCUCUAGAAUAAACAUGGGUGGGUGUGGGUAGGGGAAAGGUAUCUAAGCGCUAAACUUGCUGCAGCUAGGCAAAGCAUACAAUGGCAGUAUGAAUACCCAGACCGAAGCACUGAUCACAAGGCGCGAAACAACCCCCUUUAAUCGAUAUGACGUCACAGACUCCCAUCAGUGGAUGUGGCCUGCAUAGUACAUUCGCCGUUAACCUUGCUUAAAUGUAUUUAACCACAUCAAGAUAGCUGAUGUAAUAAUACAUUGUCAAUUUAUCUCUGCAAUCAGUAAAGACUGAUUUGCAUACAGCACACAGAAGACAAGAUAAAUCCAGACUAUUUCACACCAGUGACCAUGAUUU
This 823-nucleotide long non-coding RNA is filed under the name Paramuricea clavata. Lineage: Eukaryota; Metazoa; Cnidaria; Anthozoa; Malacalcyonacea; Plexauridae. The record is from RNAcentral.